GAUGAACGCUAGCGGCAGGCCUAACACAUGCAAGUCGAGGGAGAAGCCCUUUCGGGGGCCGAAACCGGCGCACGGGUGCGUAACGCGUAUGCAACCUACCUUUCACAGGGGGAUAGCCCGAAGAACUUUGGAUUACUACCCCAUAAUACUAUUGGAUGGCAUCAUUUGAUAAUUAAAACUGCGGUGGUGAAAGCUGGGCAUGCGUCCGAUUAGCUAGUUGGAGUGGUAACGGCACCCCAAGGCUACGAUAGGUAGGGGUCCUGAGAGGGAGAUCCCCCACACUGGUACUGAGACAGGGACCAGACUCCUACGGGAGGCAGCAGUGAGGAAUAUUGGUCAAUGGUCGGAAGACUGAACCAGCCAUGCCGCGUGCAGGAAGAAUGCCUUAUGGGUUGUAAACUGCUUUUAUAUGGGAAGAAUAAGGUGUACGUGUACAUUGAUGACGGUACCGUAUGAAUAAGCAUCGGCUAACUCCGUG
RNAcentral lists this ribosomal RNA (478 nucleotides) under uncultured bacterium. RNAcentral describes it as "partial 16S ribosomal RNA". It matches the Rfam family "Bacterial small subunit ribosomal RNA", at positions 28 to 507 of the family's 1533-position model. The record is from RNAcentral.